AUGGCGGAGCUCGGCCUGCGGGAAGAGGACCUCGAUGAUGUGGUUUAUGAUGAGAAGGAGGCGCCGCCGGAGGCAGCUCGCUGGAUUGCGCUUGCUAGAGUUCAUACGGCAAAAACCUAUAGUCAAUUUUGGUUUUUCAGGAAUAUGAGGGCUACGUGGGAUCUAGCCCAAGAAGUCCAGUUCAAGCCGCUUGAAGAAAAUUUAUAUACUAUACAGUUCUCAUGCUUAGGGGAUUGGGAA
RNAcentral lists this ribosomal RNA (240 nucleotides) under Triticum aestivum (bread wheat). Its description in RNAcentral is "partial small subunit ribosomal RNA". The record is from RNAcentral. Lineage: Eukaryota; Viridiplantae; Streptophyta; Magnoliopsida; Poales; Poaceae.